This 419-nucleotide unclassified non-coding RNA is filed under the name plant metagenome. RNAcentral's name for it is "partial contains 5.8S ribosomal RNA, internal transcribed spacer 2, and large subunit ribosomal RNA". It matches the Rfam family "Bacterial small subunit ribosomal RNA", at positions 358 to 777 of the family's 1533-position model. The record is from RNAcentral.
GGAAUCUUGCGCAAUGGUCUCACGACUGACGCAGCGACGCCGCGUGGGGGAGGAAGGGCUUCGGCUCGUAAACCCCUGUUGCCCGGGACGAACCUGCUCUUUCGAGAGCACUGACGGUACCGGGUGAGGAAGCACCGGCUAACUCCGUGCCAGCAGCCGCGGUAAUACGGAGGGUGCGAGCGUUGUCCGGAAUCACUGGGCGUAAAGGGCGCGUAGGCGGUUUCUCAAGCGCGUGGUGAAAGCCCGGGGCUCAACUGCGGGCUUGCAGUCGAUACGGGCAGGCUGGAGUUCGGUAGGGGAGACUGGAAUUCCUGGUGUAGCGGUGAAAUGCGCAGAUAUCAGGAGGAACACCGGUGGCGAAGGCGGGUCUCUGGGCCGAUACUGACGCUGAGGAGCGAAAGCGUGGGGAGCGAACAGGA